GUAGGUGGCAAGCGUUGUCCGGAAUUAUUGGGCGUAAAGCGCGCGCAGGCGGUCCUUUAAGUCUGAUGUGAAAGCCCACGGCUCAACCGUGGAGGGUCAUUGGAAACUGGGGGGCUUGAGUACAGAAGAGGAAAGCGGAAUUCCAAGUGUAGCGGUGAAAUGCGUAGAGAUUUGGAGGGACACCAGUGGCGAAGGCGGCUUUCUGGUCUGUAACUGACGCUGAGGCGCGAAAGCGUGGGGAGCAAACAGGAUUAGAUACCCUGGUAGUUCACGCCGUAAACGAUGAGUGCUAAGUGUUAGGGGGUUUCCCGCCCCCUUAGUGCUGCAGCUAACGCAUUAAGCACUCCGCCUGGGGAGUACGGCCGCAAGGCUG
This 373-nucleotide ribosomal RNA is filed under the name uncultured organism. RNAcentral describes it as "partial 16S ribosomal RNA". It matches the Rfam family "Bacterial small subunit ribosomal RNA", at positions 527 to 896 of the family's 1533-position model. The record is from RNAcentral.